This 498-nucleotide ribosomal RNA is filed under the name uncultured bacterium. Its description in RNAcentral is "partial 16S ribosomal RNA". It matches the Rfam family "Bacterial small subunit ribosomal RNA", at positions 30 to 523 of the family's 1533-position model. The record is from RNAcentral.
AUUGAACGCUGGCGGCAUGCCUUACACAUGCAAGUCGAACGGUAACAGGUCUUCGGAUGCUGACGAGUGGCGAACGGGUGAGUAAUACAUCGGAACGUGCCUAGAAGUGGGGGAUAACUACUCGAAAGAGUGGCUAAUACCGCAUGAGAUCUACGGAUGAAAGCAGGGGAUCGCAAGACCUUGUGCUACUAGAGCGGCCGAUGGCAGAUUAGGUAGUUGGUGGGAUAAAAGCUUACCAAGCCGACGAUCUGUAGCUGGUCUGAGAGGACGAUCAGCCACACUGGGACUGAGAAACGGCCCAGACUCCUACGGGAGGCAGCAGUGGGGAAUUUUGGACAAUGGGCGCAAGCCUGAUCCAGCAAUGCCGCGUGCAGGAUGAAGGCCUUCGGGUUGUAAACUGCUUUUGUACGGAACGAGAAGCCCCGGGUUAAUACCCUGGGGUCAUGACGGUACCGUAAGAAUAAGCACCGGCUAACUACGUGCCAGCAGCCGCCGUAA